CUGUGCUAGACGGGGAUGUAGCGGCGCCCUGUAACCCGCAAAUCCGCUAUAGCGGGGUUGAACUCCUCACGGAGGCUUGAUGCCUGUAGUGCUGGCUUAAGUAAGUGAUGAUGAAAAUUGGGUCCUACGCAAUGGAAACUCAUGAACCCCGCCAGGUCCGGAAGGAAGCAACGGUAAGUGAUCAUUUUCGUGUGCCGUGGGGUAGCCUGAUUAGAGUUAACUGCUUAGGUAACGGCUAUGGACACAUGUCGAAUUGAGGUGCACAG
Molecule: signal recognition particle RNA, 266 nt
Filed under: Serpentinicella alkaliphila
Lineage: Bacteria; Bacillati; Bacillota; Clostridia; Peptostreptococcales; Natronincolaceae
Description: Bacterial large signal recognition particle RNA
Rfam family: Bacterial large signal recognition particle RNA
About the family: The signal recognition particle (SRP) is a universally conserved ribonucleoprotein involved in the co-translational targeting of proteins to membranes. Archaeal SRP consists of a 7S RNA and homologues of the eukaryotic SRP19 and SRP54 proteins. In most bacteria, the SRP consists of a 4.5S RNA and the Ffh protein (a homologue of the eukaryotic SRP54 protein).
Source: Rfam by way of RNAcentral